Molecule: long non-coding RNA, 1485 nt
Organism: Pararge aegeria (speckled wood butterfly)
Lineage: Eukaryota; Metazoa; Arthropoda; Insecta; Lepidoptera; Nymphalidae
Exons: 2
Source: RefSeq, a predicted model, not a curated record
GAUUCAAUGCGGAUGGCUCCGCAGAGGCGCCAUGUGUAUCUUUUGUGUAUGGCGGGUGGCGCCCGAGAGGAGCCAAAAUGUUUUCCUGUAAAACUCCGCUAAAAAAGCUUUAUUCAGAGGCUAGCCCUAAAUGAAAGUUUCCUUAUUUGUCACGUAGAUUACGAUACUAGUAUUAGUUUCAAGAUAUAGCGUGAAAAAAGACAUUUCAGAUGUUGUAAACCUUUUCAAUAGAAACAAUAAUUAUGAAAGGUAACUUUUGUGCAUGGCGGGUGGCACCCCAGAGGAGCCAAUAUUUGAAACCAAAAAACUGACUAAUUUAAAUUUAUCAAUAGUACAUAUUUCAGUGUUCUAAAAAUAUUAGUGUCUUUAUUUAUCACGUAGAUCCUUUCCAGAGAAAUCGCUUUAAGGUGUAGCGUGAUUUCACACUCUUCGGGGAUGGUAAACCAUUUUAAGCGUUAUUUAAAUGUUAUUUAAUAUUAAGGGUUACAAACGAAUAGCACUAAUCAUGACAGUUAAAUAUUUAAAAAAUAUCUGUUUUCACUUUUUUUGCUUUGUGGAUAUGCUCUUUUGCAAGUUUAUGGUAAUAACUAGGUAGUUUCUCGAAGUAUGUCCAAAUUUAACCGGACUAGUAAUUGCAUUCCUUAGGUAUCAAGACAAUGUACUUAGUUUAUUUUUGGUGAGAAACAACAACAAAAACGAUUCUCAGAAAAGCACUAUCUUUUGUUGUUAUGCUAUGCAGUCAUAUCAAAGAUGUUUUAAAGAUUUUUAAGCUUUUUAUUGCCCUACUGCUUAUUGUUAAUAUGCCGUGCCGACCGACCCUUUUUAUUGAUGGGCUAGGGAAAGAUGUUAUUUAACUAAAAACAAAAGAAGUCGGUGCCAUAAAUCACUUAACAAGGUUUCUCACGCGCAAAUUACUUAACUAUCGAUGAUGUUUUUUCGUUUACUUCUGUUUUGCUAUUUAUGGUGAUCAGACGUAAGCACGUUGUGACCGUUUAAUGCUCGCUUCUGAAGUCUCUUAGUUUGCCUUUUAACAACUGUGGACUGUGUAUCUGGACUUCGAGAUUUUGCUUCAGUGACUACCCCGGCUAGUAAUUUGGACUCUGUUUUGAUUCUUGACUUUACAAGUUGCUAACCAAAAUGGCUACUCCUCCAUCCCCUGAACCUGGCCCGUCAAAUUGGGAUCUCAUAUCUAUGGAGUUAUCCGGAAUGAUGUCUCCCAGCCAUAUAAACUUAUCAGACAUGCCAUGCAUUGAUGCUAUUAUAAGUGAUGCAGAAUUGUAUGGGAUUUUGGCACAGGAUGUGGAUAACUUUCUGGAAGAUUUGGUAAAUGAAAACACAGAAGAUGAAGAAGCCGUUUGUGCUGAAGAUCAGUUAGAACAGGACGUUGAAAAUACAACUGAGGAAGCCCCUACUACCGAUUGGUUCAAUGGAAACCCCUCGAAUAUGGCCGAGAUUCCUUUUACGGGCACACCUGGUUUAUUACCG